CAAAUCUCCAUCAAACCAUCCUUAUCCAAUCGAGUCGAGAAAACAGUCUUUAAAGAUCCCACGUGGUUGGUUCAUGCGCAUAGGGCUUGUCAUUUGUCAUCAUCCUCAAACCUCUUUCCUCUUUCCUCUUUCAAUAUAUUUGAUCGCGGAUGAUUCGGCUGGAAAUGAAAACUCCUUUUGGAUCGAGGAGGCUCCCGAGAAAGUGAUGCUUCAGGUUGAAGAAGACAAGAGAUGGAUUCCCCGGUUGCCGGAAAAAGGCUCCGGCCGAGAGUUGUUGUGUUUAUUGGUGAUGGGUUGUUGCCGAGGAAAUCGUCGGAUGGUUCAGGGUUUGAUUGGGAUGUGUGGCUGAUCGAAGGGUCUUCAAGAACGGCGUUAAUGACUAGGGUUAAGAAGAACAACCCCUAAUUUGCACUGGGUUUCAAAUCGGGUCGUGGGGAUCCAGUGGUUCGCGGGUCCUGAACCCGGGUUACCCACUGUUUGGGUCUUGGAUUUCUGAUGUAUUGGGUCACCCAUUUUGGGUGAAUUUAAUUUGUAUUUGGGCCUAGGACAUGACCCUGUAAAUAAAUGGAAAAAUAUGUUAAUAUGUGUA
This is a long non-coding RNA of Hibiscus syriacus, 589 nucleotides long. RefSeq lists it as uncharacterized. The transcript is spliced from 2 exons. NCBI's taxonomy places the organism in Eukaryota, Viridiplantae, Streptophyta, Magnoliopsida, Malvales, Malvaceae. The record is from RefSeq and is a predicted model, not a curated record.